GGGUUGUGAGGUUAAGCGACUAAGCGUACACGGUGGAUGCCCUGGCAGUCAGAGGCGAUGAAGGACGUGCUAAUCUGCGAUAAGCGCCGGUAAGGUGAUAUGAACCGUUAUAACCGGCGAUUUCCGAAUGGGGAAACCCAGUGUGACUCGUCACACUAUCAUUAACUGAAUCCAUAGGUUAAUGAGGCGAACCGGGGGAACUGAAACAUCUAAGUACCCCGAGGAAAAGAAAUCAACCGAGAUUCCCCCAGUAGCGGCGAGCGAACGGGGAGGAGCCCAGAGCCUGAAUCAGCAUGUGUGUUAGUGGAAGCGUCUGGAAAGGCGCGCGAUACAGGGUGACAGCCCCGUACACAAAAGCGCAUGUGCUGUGAGCUCGAUGAGUAGGGCGGGACACGUGGUAUCCUGUCUGAAUAUGGGGGGACCAUCCUCCAAGGCUAAAUACUCCUGACUGACCGAUAGUGAACCAGUACCGUGAGGGAAAGGCGAAAAGAACCCCGGCGAGGGGAGUGAAAAAGAACCUGAAACCGUGUACGUACAAGCAGUGGGAGCNGUGACUGCGUACCUUUUGUAUAAUGGGUCAGCGACUUAUAUUCUGUAGCAAGGUUAACCGAAUAGGGGAGCCGGAGGGAAACCGAGUCUUAAUUGGGCGUUAAGUUGCAGGGUAUAGACCCGAAACCCGGUGAUCUAGCCAUGGGCAGGUUGAAGGUUGGGUAACACUAACUGGAGGACCGAACCGACUAAUGUUGAAAAAUUAGCGGAUGACCUGUGGCUGGGGGUGAAAGGCCAAUCAAACCGGGAGAUAGCUGGUUCUCCCCGAAAGCUAUUUAGGUAGCGCCUCGUGAAUUCAUCUCCGGGGGUAGAGCACUGUUUCGGCUAGGGGGCCAUCCCGGCUUACCAACCCGAUGCAAACUGCGAAUACCGGAGAAUGUUAUCACGGGAGACACACGGCGGGUGCUAACGUCCGUCGUGAAGAGGGAAACAACCCAGACCGCCAGCUAAGGUCCCAAAGUCAUGGUUAAGUGGGAAACGAUGUGGGAAGGCCCAGACAGCCAGGAUGUUGGCUUAGAAGCAGCCAUCAUUUAAAGAAAGCGUAAUAGCUCACUGGUCGAGUCGGCCUGCGCGGAAGAUGUAACGGGGCUAAACCAUGCACCGAAGCUGCGGCAGCGACACUCAGGUGUUGUUGGGUAGGGGAGCGUUCUGUAAGCCUGCGAAGGUGGCCUGUGAGGGUUGCUGGAGGUAUCAGAAGUGCGAAUGCUGACAUAAGUAACGAUAAAGCGGGUGAAAAGCCCGCUCGCCGGAAGACCAAGGGUUCCUGUCCAACGUUAAUCGGGGCAGGGUGAGUCGACCCCUAAGGCGAGGCCGAAAGGCGUAGUCGAUGGGAAACGGGUUAAUAUUCCCGUACUUGGUGUUACUGCGAAGGGGGGACGGAGAAGGCUAUGUUGGCCGGGCGACGGUUGUCCCGGUUUAAGCGUGUAGGUGUGUGUUCCAGGUAAAUCCGGUUCACUUUAACACUGAGGCGUGAUGACGAGGCACUACGGUGCUGAAGCAACAAAUGCCCUGCUUCCAGGAAAAGCCUCUAAGCAUCAGGUAACAUCAAAUCGUACCCCAAACCGACACAGGUGGUCAGGUAGAGAAUACCAAGGCGCUUGAGAGAACUCGGGUGAAGGAACUAGGCAAAAUGGUGCCGUAACUUCGGGAGAAGGCACGCUGACANGGAGCUGAAGUCAGUCGAAGAUACCAGCUGGCUGCAACUGUUUAUUAAAAACACAGCACUGUGCAAACACGAAAGUGGACGUAUACGGUGUGACGCCUGCCCGGUGCCGGAAGGUUAAUUGAUGGGGUCAGCGCAAGCGAAGCUCCUGAUCGAAGCCCCGGUAAACGGCGGCCGUAACUAUAACGGUCCUAAGGUAGCGAAAUUCCUUGUCGGGUAAGUUCCGACCUGCACGAAUGGCGUAAUGAUGGCCAGGCUGUCUCCACCCGAGACUCAGUGAAAUUGAACUCGCUGUGAAGAUGCAGUGUACCCGCGGCAAGACGGAAAGACCCCGUGAACCUUUACUAUAGCUUGACACUGAACAUUGAGCCUUGAUGUGUAGGAUAGGUGGGAGGCUUUGAAGCGUGGACGCCAGUCUGCGUGGAGCCGACCUUGAAAUACCACCCUUUAAUGUUUGAUGUUCUAACGUGGACCCGUNAUCCGGGUUGCGGACAGUGUCUGGUGGGUAGUUUGACUGGGGCGGUCUCCUCCUAAAGAGUAACGGAGGAGCACGAAGGUUGGCUAAUCCUGGUCGGACAUCAGGAGGUUAGUGCAAUGGCAUAAGCCAGCUUGACUGCGAGCGUGACGGCGCGAGCAGGUGCGAAAGCAGGUCAUAGUGAUCCGGUGGUUCUGAAUGGAAGGGCCAUCGCUCAACGGAUAAAAGGUACUCCGGGGAUAACAGGCUGAUACCGCCCAAGAGUUCAUAUCGACGGCGGUGUUUGGCACCUCGAUGUCGGCUCAUCACAUCCUGGGGCUGAAGUAGGUCCCAAGGGUAUGGCUGUUCGCCAUUUAAAGUGGUACGCGAGCUGGGUUUAGAACGUCGUGAGACAGUUCGGUCCCUAUCUGCCGUGGGCGCUGGAGAACUGAGGGGGGCUGCUCCUAGUACGAGAGGACCGGAGUGGACGCAUCACUGGUGUUCGGGUUGUCAUGCCAAUGGCACUGCCCGGUAGCUAAAUGCGGAAGAGAUAAGUGCUGAAAGCAUCUAAGCACGAAACUUGCCCCGAGAUGAGUUCUCCCUGAGACUUAAAGUCUCCUGAAGGAACGUUGAAGACGACGACGUUGAUAGGCCGGGUGUGUAAGCGCAGCGAUGCGUUGAGCUAACCGGUACUAAUGAACCGUGAGGCUUAACCUUACAACGCCGAAG
Molecule: ribosomal RNA, 2894 nt
Filed under: Salmonella enterica subsp. enterica serovar Infantis
Lineage: Bacteria; Pseudomonadati; Pseudomonadota; Gammaproteobacteria; Enterobacterales; Enterobacteriaceae
Description: 23S ribosomal RNA
Rfam family: Bacterial large subunit ribosomal RNA
Source: RNAcentral